RNAcentral lists this ribosomal RNA (253 nucleotides) under uncultured bacterium. Its description in RNAcentral is "partial 16S ribosomal RNA". It matches the Rfam family "Bacterial small subunit ribosomal RNA", at positions 524 to 776 of the family's 1533-position model. The record is from RNAcentral.
AACGUAGGUGGCAAGCGUUAUCCGGAUUUACUGGGUGUAAAGCGUGUGCAGGCGGUCGUGUAAGUAGCGCGUGAAAGCGCCCGGCUUAACCGGGCGAGGACGUGCUGUACUGCACGACUGGAGAUGGGUAGAGGCGAGUGGAAUUCCGGGUGUAGUGGUGAAAUGCGUAGAUAUCCGGAGGAACACCUGAGGCGAAGGCGACUCGCUGGGCCCGUUCUGACGCUCAGACACGACAGCAUGGGGAGCGAACGGG